UACUCUGUAAAUCACUUGCAAUUUCUUUCUCUCACUGAUCAAUGUCUCACCUACCACAUUCCACAUCCAGACAGAGCUUUUACAGCUUUAGCAGCUCACCUCUUCUUCUCUGCUGCUUGUCUUAUGCUGAUGUUCUUCCCCAACGUCCGUCUACAACCCCAUCGCUUCCAAUCAGCUCCCUCUAGCUGUAAUCAGCGAUAUUUACCUUCUAGACUUCGUGGAUCCGUCUGGGUUUGUUCAGGAAAUCUCUUCCAAGGUCAGCAGAGUGGUGGUUUCGGAUCACUACAAGACCGCAGUAGAUUGCAGUGAGAGUUCUUGUUCAGUUGGUGAGAAUGUGGAGAGGGUUAUUGACAUCCGGAGGAGUGGAGCUACUGUUUUUUAUUAUUAUUUCAAGGAAAGAGCUGGUAGUGGUCUAAAAGAUUUGAAUUUUGUUUCGAUGAGGGUUUGAUCUUUGAAUCCAUCUUCGUUCAAGCGGGUAAUUUGUUUUUAUCGGUUUAUUGAAUUUUUAUUUUAUUUUAUUUUAUUUUUUAAAGCUGUAAAGCUAUAAAAUUCUCUCUUUAUUUGGGUGUACAAGGCUUUUGCAUUUGCUUUUUUUGAAUUUGGAGGAUGUAAUUAGUCAGGGAUUAACCGGCUUAUCCUAGAAGCAGGAAUGAUUCUCUCAGCCAAUAAUAUGAGAUUGCUCUUGUGGCUGGAGCAUUUGGAGAUUGCCUGGCUAUGAAAGAUGAUUCUGUAUUGGAGUUGAGGAGUGAACUUGGACAUAAAUUAGCCAACAAAAGCUGUAAUCUAAAGUUGAGGUGUUGAGAAAUCUUUUUCUAGGCUCAGCAGACAGAACUGUGAAAUUCUGGGAUUUGGAAACCUUCGAACUAAUUGGAUAUACAAGCCUCAGAGUCACCGCAUUCGACGUCUACUUGGUGAGUGAGCAGGUCUGCAGCCGAAGAGAGCUUGGGAGAGAGAAGAGAAAGAGAGAGAGAGCAGGUCUGCAGUUGGUGUUCUUUCUUAUAUUUUUUAACAUUAAAGAAUGUUGCACUCAACAUGUUCUAUAGUGCAAUACAUUGUUAAAAAAUAAUUGUAAAUUUGGAUGAUUUGUGAAAGAAAAAUUUAAACGCAAUUUUGAUGAUAAUUAAAAAUAUCCUCACCUUAAAAGCA
Ziziphus jujuba (common jujube) is the source of this 1146-nucleotide long non-coding RNA. RefSeq lists it as uncharacterized. The record is from RefSeq and is a predicted model, not a curated record. The transcript is spliced from 3 exons. Lineage: Eukaryota; Viridiplantae; Streptophyta; Magnoliopsida; Rosales; Rhamnaceae.